UUGACCUCGGAUCAGGUAGGAAUACCCGCUGA
RNAcentral lists this ribosomal RNA (32 nucleotides) under Fusarium fujikuroi. RNAcentral's name for it is "partial 28S ribosomal RNA". Lineage: Eukaryota; Fungi; Ascomycota; Sordariomycetes; Hypocreales; Nectriaceae. RNAcentral also lists the same sequence under 16 other names. The record is from RNAcentral.